CAUUCACCCUUUUCAGUGGCGGAAUUCGACGUGAAGAGAGGUCGCUUCAGCGAAUUACCCAGCAUGCCCCAGGCCAAGAGCGUCUUCGCGGCCGCCGUCCUUGAAGGCUGCAUCUAUACCAUCGGAGGCUUCGAUGGAACUACCACCGUGACGAGCGUUGAGAGGUACGACAUCGCCGCCGGCAAAUGGUACACGGCUCCCCCGAUCAGCACCAAGUGCAGCGCGCACGCUGCGUGCGUCGUUAAGAACGUCGCUAACCCUGCCACAUGGACAUAGGCAUCCACCACUUAUCGCAUGUGCGGUGCGGAGCGCUGUGAUGGACACUUUCAUCCCCGAGCCUGGCGUUUACCUUCGUAGCAACGGCAGGCAUGUCUGGUCGAGGGGCCACUAGCGAACGGAACAACGGCGCAAGCAAUCUGGCGUAUAAAAUAAGCGAAGAAAAAAAUUCCACGU
This is a long non-coding RNA of Rhipicephalus sanguineus (brown dog tick), 453 nucleotides long. RefSeq lists it as uncharacterized. The record is from RefSeq and is a predicted model, not a curated record. The transcript is spliced from 3 exons. Lineage: Eukaryota; Metazoa; Arthropoda; Arachnida; Ixodida; Ixodidae.